GGCCUAUCAGCUUGUUGGUGGGGUAACGGCCUACCAAGGCUCCGACGGGUAGCUGGUCUGAGAGGACGACCAGCCACACUGGGACUGAGACACGGCCCAGACUCCUACGGGAGGCAGCAGUGGGGAAUCGUGCGCAAUGGGCGAAAGCCUGACGCAGCAACGCCGCGUGGGGGACGAAGGCCUUCGGGUUGUAAACCCCUUUCAGCAGGGACGAACAUGACGGUACCUGCAGAAGAAGCCCCGGCCAACUACGUGCCAGCAGCCGCGGUAAUACGUAGGGGGCGAGCGUUGUCCGGAUCUAUUGGGCGUAAAGAGCUCGUAGGCGGUUUGGCAAGUCGGGUGUGAAAACUCCGGGCUCAACUCGGAGACGCCACUCGAUACUGCCAUGACUCGAGUCCGGUAGGGGAGUGCGGAAUUCCUGGUGUAGCGGUGAAAUGCGCAGAUAUCAGGAGGAACACCGGUGGCGAAGGCGGCACUCUGG
This 481-nucleotide ribosomal RNA is filed under the name uncultured Actinomycetes bacterium. RNAcentral describes it as "bacterial SSU rRNA". It matches the Rfam family "Bacterial small subunit ribosomal RNA", at positions 235 to 732 of the family's 1533-position model. Lineage: Bacteria; Bacillati; Actinomycetota; Actinomycetes. The record is from RNAcentral.